GGCCCGGCUUAGAGGCAGUGCUG
This 23-nucleotide non-coding RNA is filed under the name Arabidopsis thaliana (thale cress). The record is from RNAcentral. Lineage: Eukaryota; Viridiplantae; Streptophyta; Magnoliopsida; Brassicales; Brassicaceae.